GAGACAGCAGCCGCCACGGUAAUACGUAGGGGGCAAGCGUUAUCCGGAAUAACUGGGCGUAAAGGGUGCGCAGGUGGUUUAACAAGUUAGUGGUGAAAGGCAUAGGCUCGACCAAUGUAAGCCAUUAAAUCUGUUUAACUUGAGUGCAGGAGAGGAAAGUGGAAUUCCUAGUGUAGCGGUGAAAUGCGUAGAUAUUAGGAGGAAUACCAGUGGCGAAGGCGACUUUCUGGACUGCAACUGACACUGAGGCACGAAAGCGUGGGGAGCAAACAGGAUUAGAUACCCGUGUAGUCCCUGUCUCUUAUACA
RNAcentral lists this ribosomal RNA (308 nucleotides) under uncultured bacterium. RNAcentral's name for it is "partial 16S ribosomal RNA". It matches the Rfam family "Bacterial small subunit ribosomal RNA", at positions 505 to 808 of the family's 1533-position model. The record is from RNAcentral.